UACGUAGGGUGCAAGCGUUGUCCGGAAUUAUUGGGCGUAAAGAGCUCGUAGGCGGCUUGUCGCGUCAGCUGUGAAAACCUGGGGCUCAACCCCGGGCCUGCAGCCGAUACGGGCAAGCUAGAAUUCGGUAGGGGAGACUGGAAUUCCUGGUGUAGCGGUGAAAUGCGCAGAUAUCAGGAGGAACACCGGUGGCGAAGGCGGGUCUCUGGGCCGAUAUUGACGCUGAGGAGCGAAAGCGUGGGGAGCGAACAGG
RNAcentral lists this ribosomal RNA (253 nucleotides) under uncultured bacterium. RNAcentral describes it as "partial 16S ribosomal RNA". It matches the Rfam family "Bacterial small subunit ribosomal RNA", at positions 524 to 776 of the family's 1533-position model. The record is from RNAcentral.